GAUGAACGCUGGCGGCGUGCCUAAUACAUGCAAGUCGAGCGAACAGACGAGGAGCUUGCUCCUCUGACGUUAGCGGCGGACGGGUGAGUAACACGUGGAUAACCUACCUAUAAGACUGGGAUAACUCCGGGAAACCGGAGCUAAUACCGGAUAAUAUAUUGAACCGCGUGGUUCAAUAGUGAAAGACGGUUUUGCUGUCACUUAUAGAUGGAUCCGCGCCGCAUUAGCUAGUUGGUAAGGUAACGGCUUACCAAGGCAACGAUGCGUAGCCGACCUGAGAGGGUGAUCGGCCACACUGGAACUGAGACACGGUCCAGACUCCUACGGGAGGCAGCAGUAGGGAAUCUUCCGCAAUGGGCGAAAGCCUGACGGAGCAACGCCGCGUGAGUGAUGAAGGUCUUCGGAUCGUAAAACUCUGUUAUUAGGGAAGAACAAAUGUGUAAGUAACUAUGCACGUCUUGACGGUACCUAAUCAGAAAGCCACGGCUAACUACGUG
This 497-nucleotide ribosomal RNA is filed under the name uncultured bacterium. Its description in RNAcentral is "partial 16S ribosomal RNA". It matches the Rfam family "Bacterial small subunit ribosomal RNA", at positions 28 to 507 of the family's 1533-position model. The record is from RNAcentral.